RNAcentral lists this ribosomal RNA (1376 nucleotides) under Mycolicibacterium cosmeticum. Its description in RNAcentral is "bacterial SSU rRNA". It matches the Rfam family "Bacterial small subunit ribosomal RNA". The record is from RNAcentral. Lineage: Bacteria; Bacillati; Actinomycetota; Actinomycetes; Mycobacteriales; Mycobacteriaceae.
GAAAGGCCCUUCGGGGUGCUCGAGUGGCGAACGGGUGAGUAACACGUGGGUGAUCUGCCCUGCACUUUGGGAUAAGCCUGGGAAACUGGGUCUAAUACCGAAUAGGACUCCGGCCUUCAUGGGUUGGGGUGGAAAGCUUUUGCGGUGUGGGAUGGGCCCGCGGCCUAUCAGCUUGUUGGUGGGGUAAUGGCCUACCAAGGCGACGACGGGUAGCCGGCCUGAGAGGGUGACCGGCCACACUGGGACUGAGAUACGGCCCAGACUCCUACGGGAGGCAGCAGUGGGGAAUAUUGCACAAUGGGCGCAAGCCUGAUGCAGCGACGCCGCGUGAGGGAUGACGGCCUUCGGGUUGUAAACCUCUUUCAGCACAGACGAAGCGCAAGUGACGGUAUGUGCAGAAGAAGGACCGGCCAACUACGUGCCAGCAGCCGCGGUAAUACGUAGGGUCCGAGCGUUGUCCGGAAUUACUGGGCGUAAAGAGCUCGUAGGUGGUUUGUCGCGUUGUUCGUGAAAACUCACAGCUUAACUGUGGGCGUGCGGGCGAUACGGGCAGACUGGAGUACUGCAGGGGAGACUGGAAUUCCUGGUGUAGCGGUGGAAUGCGCAGAUAUCAGGAGGAACACCGGUGGCGAAGGCGGGUCUCUGGGCAGUAACUGACGCUGAGGAGCGAAAGCGUGGGGAGCGAACAGGAUUAGAUACCCUGGUAGUCCACGCCGUAAACGGUGGGUACUAGGUGUGGGUUUCCUUCCUUGGGAUCCGUGCCGUAGCUAACGCAUUAAGUACCCCGCCUGGGGAGUACGGCCGCAAGGCUAAAACUCAAAGGAAUUGACGGGGGCCCGCACAAGCGGCGGAGCAUGUGGAUUAAUUCGAUGCAACGCGAAGAACCUUACCUGGGUUUGACAUGCACAGGACGCCGUAGAGAUAUGUUCCCUUGUGGCCUGUGUGCAGGUGGUGCAUGGCUGUCGUCAGCUCGUGUCGUGAGAUGUUGGGUUAAGUCCCGCAACGAGCGCAACCCUUGUCCUAUGUUGCCAGCGGGUUAUGCCGGGGACUCGUAGGAGACUGCCGGGGUCAACUCGGAGGAAGGUGGGGAUGACGUCAAGUCAUCAUGCCCCUUAUGUCCAGGGCUUCACACAUGCUACAAUGGCCGGUACAAAGGGCUGCGAUGCCGUGAGGUGGAGCGAAUCCUUGUAAAGCCGGUCUCAGUUCGGAUCGGGGUCUGCAACUCGACCCCGUGAAGUCGGAGUCGCUAGUAAUCGCAGAUCAGCAACGCUGCGGUGAAUACGUUCCCGGGCCUUGUACACACCGCCCGUCACGUCAUGAAAGUCGGUAACACCCGAAGCCGGUGGCCUAACCCCUUGUGGGAGGGAGCCGUCGAA